RNAcentral lists this long non-coding RNA (2024 nucleotides) under Fragaria vesca (wild strawberry). Its description in RNAcentral is "long non-coding RNA (FVES_LNC001839)". The record is from RNAcentral. Lineage: Eukaryota; Viridiplantae; Streptophyta; Magnoliopsida; Rosales; Rosaceae.
ACCUCAUAACAUCUUUUGAACCAUUAUAGCAUCAAAAGUCAUUGGCUUUUAUCAUUUGAGUCACAAAUCAAAUUUAAACGAUCCACGCGUGCCGUGUUUUGUAAAGCUGUUGUAAUUGUUGUUUUCAGGUUUUAUAAUUGAAUAUCAAAGCUUCUGUUGUCUUCUAUUACGCUCCUACCAACCUCAGGAACCUCAAUUUUGAAAACAAAUUACGUUUUACCCGUCCCUUCAAGUUUAACCUAGUUCCAGCCUGUCACACCCCGGUCCCGGCGUCGGCGGGUUUUAAGCACCGGACGUCGAUUCCGAGGCAUGAACGAGUGUUACAAAACAGAAUAAAAUAAAAGCACUAUCUUCUAGGCUCGUCGGCUACCUUUUCCCGGCUCGAUCAAAUCUAAGUACUUCUCUGCAAAAAAAAUAUUAGAGAUGGGUGGGUGAGCAUAACCACGCGCUCAGUGAGUAGACUAAUGUAAUAUGCCCGCAAAGCCAUGUCAUUUUACACACGCUACAAAAUAUGUAUAUCGUAUACACAUCGAGUCACACAAUUCAUCACAUCGCACAAUCCCUUCUUAUUGGAUAUCCUUCAAUUUAGUGAUCCCCACGGGAACCUAAUGACCUUCAAGUCCUAUACCUCCGUGUGUCACAUCCUUACUUCGGCAUAACCAAUCAAGAAGUUCACAUGUUCCAUGAUUAGUCAAACAAUGGAUCCAACACAUAAUAAUAUAUAAAACUCCACAUAUUUCGCAAAUCGACAUGCUUCACUAUAAAAAGAGAGAUAUUUCGUAAAAGAUCAAAAUCAUGUUUUUCGACUAAUUUGAUAGCAAAUAAGAAUAUUUGAAACAUAUUACAAAAAUCUACUCACCUCGUUAAUACGAACCCCUACCAAGAACGUCGAUCGUAAACCGAGCCUCCUAAAACGAGCCAUCUAGAAAUCACCAUUGGAUGCUCAAACCUCUAGGAUAGGAAGAGGACAUCGAUACGAACCCGUAACACUUCGCGGAUUCAGAAUCAGACUUACGGAUCAAAAGUUAUGAUCCGCCGAACUUUAAGUCGUAAAAACCCUAUAAAAAGAAAAUGUACAGAGACAUUUGAAGAGAGAGAGAGAGAGAGAGUAUAGAGAGCAGCUGCUAAUUAUACCUCUAUAUAUAGGAGAAUAGGCCGACAUUUGAAGGGUCGGUUAAGGUUGUUGGCCCAAUUGAAAAUGGACACUAGUCCAUUAAAGAAGAAACCAACUCCAUCACUUGACAAGUUUCCUAUGACUUGCAAUUGUAGCUGCAACUGACGCAGCUCUCAUCUCCUCACAGCCGACCAAGUGAAGCCAAGUGUCACUAAACAACCACUAAAAUGCUGCCACAUCAACACAACGGAUUAACUUCAACGAAACUUCGAAAAAUCGAUAAAAAUAGCUCAGGAACUCAAAAAAAUUCAUCGAAAAAUACGACGAACUUGUCGCGACCUCUAUUUUCUAAUUUUAAGAAGAAAAACACAUUUUUAAGAAAUUUCAAAAUUCAGGAUGUUACAAUCUACCCUCCUAACAAGAAUUUCGUCCCCGAAAUUCAACACACCUUCAAAAACCAAAAACACUUAUGACUCUACGCUAAGAUGCUAGAAUCCUAAUCUACCACAGAUCUUGGGGUUCUAAUUCUUGGUUUGUUCUGAUACCAUUCUGUCACACCCCGGUCCCGGCGUCGGCGGGUUCUAAGCACCAGACGCCUAUUCCGAGGCAUGAACGAGUUACAAAGCGGAAUAAAAUAAAAGCACUAUCUUCUAGGCUCGUCGGCUACCCUUUCUCGGCUCGAUCAAAUCUAAGUAUUUGUCUGCAAAAAAAAUAUUAGAGAUGGAUGGGUGAGCAUAAUCACGCGCUCAAUGAGUAGACCAAUGUAAUAUGCCCGCAAAGCCAUGUCAUUUUACACACGCUACAAAAUACGUAUAUUGUAUACACAUCGAGUCACACAAUUUAUCACAUCACACAAUCCAUUCUUAUUGGAUAUCUUUCAAUUUAGUGAUCCCCACGGGAACCUAAUGAC